CACAUCAGAAUAUCACAGCAAAGAAAAAAACAUUAGGACACUUAAGAUACAUAGUACAGAAAAAAUACAUAGCCUACUAUGUAUUCAAUACAGUGUGUCUGAUUGUAGACUGUGAAGAGCUGCUGGAUUCAGUGCAGCAGGAUGAAGGAGAGCAGAGAACAGCAGAGGAACAGGAAGCUCUGAGCACCGUUACACAGGGACCCUCCUGAGCAGAUGAACAGUGAGAAAAAAGAAAAGCAGAACAACAGAGAUACGCAGAUCCAUCGUGUGACUGGAACAGAAUGAAGGCUAGAGCUAGGCUGCUGUCUAUGUUUAUGUCUGUUCAGAAAGGGGUUGGGUUUACU
Long non-coding RNA from Onychostoma macrolepis, 344 nucleotides. RefSeq lists it as uncharacterized. The transcript has 3 exons. The record is from RefSeq and is a predicted model, not a curated record. Lineage: Eukaryota; Metazoa; Chordata; Actinopteri; Cypriniformes; Cyprinidae.